Molecule: ribosomal RNA, 1003 nt
Filed under: human oral metagenome
Description: bacterial LSU rRNA
Rfam family: Bacterial large subunit ribosomal RNA
Source: RNAcentral
GUAAACGGCGGCCGUAACUAUAACGGUCCUAAGGUAGCGAAAUUCCUUGUCGGGUAAGUUCCGACCCGCACGAAAGGCGUAACGAUCUGGGCACUGUCUCAACGAGAGACUCGGUGAAAUUGAAAUCCCUGUGAAGAUGCAGGGUACCCGCGACAGGACGGAAAGACCCCAUGGAGCUUUACUGUAGCUUGAUAUUGAGUGUUUGUACUGCUUGUACAGGAUAGGUAGGAGCCAUAGAAGUCGGAACGCUAGUUUCGACGGAGGCGUUGGUGGGAUACUACCCUUGCAUUAUGACCACUCUAACCCGCAGCACUAAACGUGCUGGGAGACAGUGUCAGGUGGGCAGUUUGACUGGGGCGGUCGCCUCCCAAAAGGUAACGGAGGCGCCCAAAGGUUCGCUCAGAAUGGUUGGAAAUCAUUCGCAGAGUGUAAAGGCACAAGCGAGCUUGACUGCGAGACAGACAGGUCGAGCAGGGACGAAAGUCGGGCUUAGUGAUCCGGUGGUUCCGCAUGGAAGGGCCAUCGCUCAACGGAUAAAAGCUACCCUGGGGAUAACAGGCUUAUCUCCCCCAAGAGUUCACAUCGACGGGGAGGUUUGGCACCUCGAUGUCGGCUCAUCGCAUCCUGGGGCUGAAGUCGGUCCCAAGGGUUGGGCUGUUCGCCCAUUAAAGCGGUACGCGAGCUGGGUUCAGAACGUCGUGAGACAGUUCGGUCCCUAUCCGUCGCGGGCGUAGGAAAUUUGAGAGGACCUGUCCUUAGUACGAGAGGACCGGGAUGGACAUACCGCUGGUGUACCAGUUGUUCCGCCAGGAGCAUCGCUGGGUAGCUAUGUAUGGAUGAGAUAAACGCUGAAAGCAUCUAAGCGUGAAACUCGCCUCAAGAUGAGAUUUCCCAUUCCUUAUGGAAGUAAGACCCCUCAGAGAUGAUGAGGUAGAUAGGAUGGAAGUGGAAGUGCCGCGAGGCAUGGAGCGGACCAUUACUAAUCGGUCGAGGACUUAACCAA